Long non-coding RNA from Cavia porcellus (domestic guinea pig), 918 nucleotides. RefSeq lists it as uncharacterized. The record is from RefSeq and is a predicted model, not a curated record. The transcript has 3 exons. NCBI's taxonomy places the organism in Eukaryota, Metazoa, Chordata, Mammalia, Rodentia, Caviidae.
GAUUUUUAUGGCGCUUUCCCGGUAACAGUUAACUUCUCGGCUGGGUAACAGAACGUACAUUGAUGAAAGACGGGCGCCCCCUUUUCGCCAGUUCACAAGUUUGAAUUUACCUGCUUGGGCUGGCCUGCCCUGGGAUCGCUCCCAGCCGAAGCCUCCUCUGGUCCGCUCCCCGCAGCUCCUUCCGUGCUUUGCUCCGAAGCCUCUACCGGUCCGCUCUCCGCGGCUCCUUCCGGGCUUCGCUCCAAAGCCUCUACCGGUCCGCUCUCCGCGGCUCCUUCCGGGCUUCUACUUCCCCCCAGGGGUGGCACCAGUAUAUAUACGGAUACAGUGUCCAAUCAUAUUAAAGUAAGCAAGGCAAGCUGAUUGGCUAACAUAUUAUUGAGCGGGUUGUUUACGCGGUAAGCAGGAAACUAACGUGCUCGAUGGGAGGGGUAAUCUAACUCAGGCUUUGCUCUUUACCACAGGCCGCAUGAUCGCUAUAUGCGGUGGCUCGGCAAUGUGGUGGCUCCCAACAUCUCCCCCUUUUUUAUUUUAAAUAAGUCUACGCAUCGCAGCCCGUCCUGAAUUGAGUGUAGAGGCCUAUGCCCUGAUAGGAGGGCCACCAAGGGCUCUCGGCGUCGGCCCGGGUCGGCCGUCCCCGAGUCUGCCGAGGCCCCGAGGCCCUCGUCCUUUUUCCAGGCCCAGGAAGGAACCGGACGGAACCUGGAUGCACACAGGCAUACACUCAUGUCGCUCCGCAUGAUCCCCCCGGGGCGACAUUUGGUUUGGGCGGAACCUAGUAAUUCAGCGGCUUUCGUGCGGUAUGGGGUAGGGCCUGUCUUAGGUUGAGUCAUGCUGGGGAGGCAUGCUCUUACCCGUCAUUGACUCAUCUACCCUGCUAUAUCAUAAUUUUUUAGAGGAGGAGUGUGGGAAGCUCAC